Molecule: long non-coding RNA, 1258 nt
Organism: Cercocebus atys (sooty mangabey)
Lineage: Eukaryota; Metazoa; Chordata; Mammalia; Primates; Cercopithecidae
Exons: 3
Source: RefSeq, a predicted model, not a curated record
UGUGCCUACACCAAAUAAAAGCAAGCAGUUCCAGCUUCUCAGGGCUGGCACUGUGGCCACUUGAGCUGCUCUUAUACUGCAUACCUGUGUCUGAGUGCUCAUUUCAUCCAUCGGCCAGGGUCUGUGGGACAGAACCGGGUGCAUGGUGCCCCGUGUGAGUGCAGCGGAUCAUGACGGAACCCUCGAAAAUGAAACUGAAGUGAUUGCGCAAACAUGUGAUCAGGAGGCGGUCAUGAGGAUGAAAGUCAUACGUGAAGGAUGAUGGAACAGAGGGACUAAAGGAGUCUGACCUGGACGCCCUGAUUUCCUGCUAUGUGGUGUGAAAAAGAAGCCACAGUCCCAUGGAUUCUGUUAUCAGCCACUGAGUGCAAUCCUACCUGAUCCCAUGGUCCUCACCAAGGCUGUUGUGUGCUUAGGAAAUGGAGAAUGGCCCCCAAACCACAGCAGCAAAAAUGAGUGGAAGGGUUGAGCAUUACUUCCAGCCCUUGGUUGCUCUGGUGAUUGGUGCCUGGGAGGGGCAGGACCUCCAUCCAACAGACUGUACCAGCAGAGUCAUAAGAGGAAACCUCAGAGAUGCAUUGGACUUGGUCAGCAGACUUGAGUUCCAUGCCCACGCCAGUCACUGACUGGCCAUGACCUGAAUUGGACAAGGCAUGCCCACUCUAGACUUCAGUUGUUCCUUAUCUGGAAAAGGAAAGGAGUGCUUUGACAGUGGUUCCCAGACACCAAUUUAUAAAGAUUUCACUAGUCUGUGGCAAAAUAAUAAUAAUGGCUAUGAAUUAUUGGGUAUUUCCUUUGUGUGAAGUGAUUUUCGUAUAUUAACUCAUUUAAUCUCAUAACCACCUGGAAAAGUACAUAUUCUUAUUAACACCUUCACAUGAUAGAUGAUGAAAAUGAUAAAACCAAGGCUCAGAGAGUUUAAGUAACUUACCUGAAGGUCUUCAGAUGGUAAGUGGUAGAGCCUGGAUUUGAACUCAGGUGUCCUGGUCCCAGAGUCCAUGUACUAAAUCACUACAUUACAGCUGCCCAUGUGAUAAGGAAAGACUAAGGAGGAUGAUGAUGAUGUGCACCCAUAUUGAUGCACACACAGACAAAUAAUACAGUAUAUUUGUGUACUGUUAGUGUAAGUUUAAUACUGACUUUCUGGGGAAGGACAGGGAUAUAUAUAUAUCCUUUAUGUUAAGAGUAAGAGAAUAAGUCAUAUGUUUUACAUUGAAAGGUACUUUUCUGAAACAAUGACAGAAGAUGAGUAUUUUAU